Molecule: ribosomal RNA, 406 nt
Filed under: uncultured bacterium
Lineage: Bacteria
Description: partial 16S ribosomal RNA
Rfam family: Bacterial small subunit ribosomal RNA
Source: RNAcentral
AUUGAACGCUGGCGGCAGGCCUAACACAUGCAAGUCGCGCGAGCGGCGGACGGGUGAGUAAUGUAUGGGGAUCGGCAUGAUUGCGGGGGAUAACUACUGGCAACGGUAGCUAAUACCGCAUAACAUCAGAUGAACCCAUAUGGGCUUAGCUAGUAGGUAAGGUAACGGCGUACCUAGGCGAAGAUCCCUCGCUGGUCUGAGAGGAUGAUCAUCCACACGGGGACUGAGACACGGCCCAGACUCCUACGUGAGGCAGCAUUGGGGAAUAUUGCACAAUGGGCGCAAGCCUGAUGCAGCCAUGCCGCGUGUAUGAAGAAGGCCUUCGGGGUGUAAAGUACUUUCAGUCGGGAGGCGUUACCUACAGAAGAAGCACCGGCUAACUCCGUGCCAGCCGCCGCGGUAAUAC